Athene cunicularia (burrowing owl) is the source of this 3345-nucleotide long non-coding RNA. RefSeq lists it as uncharacterized. The record is from RefSeq and is a predicted model, not a curated record. Lineage: Eukaryota; Metazoa; Chordata; Aves; Strigiformes; Strigidae. The transcript has 3 exons.
AAUCCCCCUAGUGCAGUAACUCCCAGGAGCCACCAUGACAAUGAAAGCAUGUAAUCCUAGCUGCUGGUCAGGUAUUGAUCCCUGGUCCAAAGAUGUCACAUUUGAAACGGUAUGGUGUAAUAUUUGGAUGGGUGACGGGGAAAGGAACAGAAGUCUGUUUCAGAGCAGACUUUGCAUCUCUACUGGCUAAUUAAAUGAGCAGAAGACACUCACUCAGCAGUGCUGCCACGCUCCCCUUUGUGCUGGCCCUCUGUGAUAUACCCAGAGGAAAAAGCAAGAGCUUAGACUUAGCUACAGCAUGGAAAACACUCAGGACUCAAGACUGGGUGCUCAGAAAUCUAGAUAGAGCUUGUCCCAGAAAGAAACAACUCACUGUCCGAGGGUAGACACAAUGGUUCUUCAAUGCUCAAGGAUCACUGACACAUUUUCAACACCAGCUUUUGAUCCCUCUGAGACAUGCAGGGGAUGAAGCAGGGAGCAUCAUCGGUUUCUCACGUUGCUGCAGGCCUAAAGGAAAACUAGUUGUCAGGUGUAGCAUAACUCAGAGGCAUUUGUUUGAACCUCUGACACUGCCAUCCCUCCUCCUUUUAACAAACUUAUCAACUGUUUUUAAUCUGUUUGAAUUUAGCCACAUUAGACACAGACAGCAUUUUCUGUGAAUUGCUGCUCAUGGAAGACAAUUAGCAAGCUUUUUGUGAUAAAGCCUUUAGGAUACAGAGAAAGGAACAUGAAUAUAAACCUCACCUAAAUGCCUGACCCUCUGAAGCAUGAACAUCUCCCCGCAUGCCCCAGAAACCCUGCAGCUCAGACCUGAGGCCAGUGCCAUAUCUCAGACACCGCAAUCUUGAUGAUAUUUGGCUAGCAACAGCAGCAAGUGACACAACUUGCAGAUGGCUCCUUUUUGAUGAUGCAGUAUCCCACUCAGCUGCAUCCCUGCUUAUGUUCUCUUUAUCACUUAAAGAAACCCAUCCUAAAUGGCCGCAACAUGGGUAAAUAAGCUAAGAGGUCAGUGCUCGCUUAAGAGACUGCACUCACUACUGGUCGAGAUGAAUACAGCUUGAUUUUAUCUAACCCAUCUACUGAAACUGCACAGGCUUCCUCCAUCCCUGGCACCACCCUUGCACUACUGCGAGGAACAUGACCCUGUUGAGCAGCCCCAUCCAUUCUUCCAAACAACAGGAGCAGCAGCACUGUAACUGCAAAUAAAACGAGAAAGGUCUUUUGGGGCAGGAUUUCUGAGGAGAUCCCAAACAAGAAGUACUGGACAAAGGCAAUUCUUCCCUCUUUGUACCUUAAGAGCUGCAAAUGAGUUUCCUGCAACAGGGAGCACUGAAGUUUCUUCAGAGAAACUUAAAGGGCAAAACCUGGAAGGCGGGGGGGCAGUAAGAGCUGUAACCAGCAGAAGUGUAAAGUUCCAUCACAUGGCACCUUUGACUCCAGGCAGAGCUGUGAGGACCAUAUGGGGACAGGGAGGGGGCAGUGAGACCACACUGCUCUGUGUGGAGGGAUCCACAUCUGCCUCCACCUCUGGCAAGAUCCAGCUCCACAGACAGAGGUGAGAAAUGGUCCCUCAGGUGCCUUCCACCCAGCUACCAAUGUCUCCUCAGCCUCCUGGGCACAUCAGCAGGGUAUUGGUGUGCCAUUUCCACAGCGUCACCUUCAACGUCCUCUAGCCAUCUAAAUGUCAGCUGCUAUAAAAUGCUCUCCCAAGACACUUAAUCCAUCUUUUCAACAUAGAGUAAUUAGUGGGGUCGUUCCAAAGCAGAAAGCCAGUUAAUUGUGCAACUACUUGUGCUGUCAUGUAUUAUAUCAAAGAGAUUAAUACAACCUGAAAGAAAUUGCAGGGCCCUCCUUGGUUUCCUUUGAACAUCAGAGCUAGAUUAUAUUCCAGUGAACCUCAAAGACAUCCCCAGUACAGAGGAACAUUAAUUCACUAUCAAAGUGCAAUUGCAAAUAACAAAUAUUCACUAGGUCAACCUCCUGAUAAAACAGUUCCUAUGCAAAAAGCUGCUUUUUCUCCACAGAUAUGUAGAACCAGCUUCUACAUCACCUCUUGGUCUUCCCAUGGCUGUUGUAGAUUUUAGGGGCACAGUCAUUUCCUGGAACUAUUCCCACCAACAGGCAACAGUCCUUCUCCUCAGGUUGGGAGGACCAUCAAAAUGGAACCAAUAAGGUGUCCUGAUAAGGGCGUGGGCCACAGUACCAAAACUGUCCCUGUUAAGGACUGCUGCAUGGGUUGGACCUAUUCUCACAAUCCAAGACUGAUCAAAGUUAUCACUGAAGACUAUCUUGAAAGAGGCAAAAGUGUAAACCCAUUUAAUCAAUACCCAGAGAUCUGGGGUCCCAAAAUUUGUUCUGGUGUUAAAGAAAGGAUCCCAGGUACCACCAAGCCUGACACACUUCCCUCUCUCUCACAGCUUUGAUUACUUUGAUGGAUACUACCAAGUUUUCCUUUCUUGAUUUUCCACAGUUUUCACUCACAUACCAGAUACUGAGUGAAGCCCUUUAGCUCAAGCUUAACUUCAAAUGUAUAUUUAAACUUCCAGACAUGGACUGUGGUAAACUCUUAAUGAAAGCUUCAGACUUGCAGCUAGGGUCUGCCUGUUGACCUUAGGAAUCAUGUAUGGUCACCUCCAGAAACUGCAUUAAAGGUACAUGAUUAAGACUUCAACACUAAGCACUCAGGUUACAAAAGACUAAUUAAAUUGACACAAGAAAUCUUAAUUUUGGCCAUCCCUAUUACAUAUAGGCAUUAUAAUAUAGAUUUUAGUUUUAUGAUCAAGCAUUUCUGCAUUCUACCUCUUAUGUGCUCCUUCCUGACCUUAUUAAGUCUCAUUUUACCUCUUCUGCCUUCUAAAGGCUAAUAAAGUAAGAACAUACAAACAGGAAAAGAGCUGGCUUUGAGCAGCCUGAGCCAAUAGGGGAUUCCUAGGUCUCAGAAGGACCAAGCAGCCUUGUGCUGUGGUCACAUUUCUCCAGCAGAAGAGGUAGCAGAAAUUAGGGAACCACUAGCAGAAGUUAACUGCUUUUUCUAUGUUCAAUUAUCUUUCUGCUUUGUGUUUAUCUUACUUCAUCUCCAUAAAAGAAAAUUGGACUGUAACAGCUAGAGCAACAGCAGAUAAUUUCAGCUAACUCCCUGUAUGUUUCCUCCAAGGAAUCAAAGGCUAUCAAGCAGAAGGGAGGAAAAUCAGAGGAAAGGCAAGAAUGGGUUUUCCUAUGCAAUGGGAAAGUUAUUCUGUGAAGGAAAGCAUUAAAAGUAAAGCCUUUCUUUUUCAGAAAGUUUACAUUUUGAAUGCUUCUCCACUUCUCUUUCUUUCUCUCCCCUGCUGCUAACCAGACUGAGGU